GCAAGUCGAGCGGGCGUAGCAAUACGUCAGCGGCAGACGGGUGAGUAACGCGUGGGAACGUACCUUUUGGUUCGGAGCAACACAGGGAAACUUGUGCUAAUACCGGAUAAGCCCUUACGGGGAAAGAUUUAUCGCCGAAAGAUCGGCCCGCGUCUGAUUAGCUAGUUGGUAGGGUAACGGCCUACCAAGGCGACGAUCAGUAGCUGGUCUGAGAGGAUGAUCAGCCACAUUGGGACUGAGACACGGCCCAAACUCCUACGGGAGGCAGCAGUGGGGAAUAUUGGACAAUGGGGGCAACCCUGAUCCAGCCAUGCCGCGUGAGUGAUGAAGGCCCUAGGGUUGUAAAGCUCUUUUGUGCGGGAAGAUAAUGACGGUACCGCAAGAAUAAGCCCCGGCUAACUUCGUGCCAGCAGCCGCGGUAAUACGAAGGGGGCUAGCGUUGCUCGGAAUCACUGGGCGUAAAGGGUGCGUAGGCGGGUCUUUAAGUCAGGGGUGAAAUCCUGGAGCUCAACUCCAGAACUGCCUUUGAUACUGAAGAUCUUGAGUUCGGGAGAGGUGAGUGGAACUGCGAGUGUAGAGGUGAAAUUCGUAGAUAUUCGCAAGAACACCAGUGGCGAAGGCGGCUCACUG
RNAcentral lists this ribosomal RNA (630 nucleotides) under Bradyrhizobium japonicum. RNAcentral's name for it is "bacterial SSU rRNA". It matches the Rfam family "Bacterial small subunit ribosomal RNA", at positions 57 to 731 of the family's 1533-position model. The record is from RNAcentral. Lineage: Bacteria; Pseudomonadati; Pseudomonadota; Alphaproteobacteria; Hyphomicrobiales; Nitrobacteraceae.